ACGGAAGGCAGCAGUGGGGAAUAUUGCACAAUGGGGGAAACCCUGAUGCAGCGACGCCGCGUGAAGGAUGAAGUAUUUCGGUAUGUAAACUUCUAUCAGCAGGGAAGAAAAUGACGGUACCUGAUUAAGAAGCCCCGGCUAACUACGUGCCAGCAGCCGCGGUAAUACGUAGGGGGCAAGCGUUAUCCGGAUUUACUGGGUGUAAAGGGAGCGUAGACGGUAUGGCAAGUCUGAAGUGAAAACCCAGGGCUCAACCCUGGGACUGCUUUGGAAACUGUUAAACUAGAGUGUCGGAGAGGCAAGUGGAAUUCCUAGUGUAGCGGUGAAAUGCGUAGAUAUUAGGAGGAACACCAGAGGCGAAGGCGGCUUGCUGGACGAUGACUGACGUUGAGGCUCGAAAGCGUGGGGAGCAAACAGGAUUAGAUACCCUGGUA
RNAcentral lists this ribosomal RNA (434 nucleotides) under uncultured Dorea sp. Its description in RNAcentral is "partial 16S ribosomal RNA". It matches the Rfam family "Bacterial small subunit ribosomal RNA", at positions 341 to 792 of the family's 1533-position model. Lineage: Bacteria; Bacillati; Bacillota; Clostridia; Lachnospirales; Lachnospiraceae. The record is from RNAcentral.